Cucumis sativus (cucumber) is the source of this 853-nucleotide long non-coding RNA. RefSeq lists it as uncharacterized. The record is from RefSeq and is a predicted model, not a curated record. The transcript has 2 exons. NCBI's taxonomy places the organism in Eukaryota, Viridiplantae, Streptophyta, Magnoliopsida, Cucurbitales, Cucurbitaceae.
CGGCGUUCUGUAAAUGCAAAAAUAUCAAUCAGUAUCUGCCCUUGAAUUUCAAUCCGCCAUUGUAGGGAGUUUGAGAACAGAAACAUCCAUGGAGAAGGAUAAGAUCAUAAGACCGACCUGAAAAGUGACAGAGGCCAAAGGAGCAGUCAUGCCUCUGAAAAGACCAGCAGGGCCAUCGUUAACAAUGAUAUUCCGAAAAAUUUUCAAAGCAGAACCAGAUAUCGAUUGUUGUUGCAUUACUCUAAGAGUAUCAAGAGGGUAGCCUGAGAUUACCCCGGCGAUGCCACCAAAUCCACCGGCAACAAAUUCUCUACCCCAACUGCUUGCAAGGAAUUCUGGCCAGAAAUCCAUUACUACAAUAUGUUAUCGCUUCUCCAAACCAACCAAACCAACCAACCAACAACAAUAACAACAAUCUUUAAUCGCAAAAAGCAGGAGGAGGAAAUAAGAUGAAAUUGAAUGGAAGAAAACGUGAAGGGAAGUUGAGAAAGGCAAUGAAGAGGAAGAAAAGAGAAGAAGGGCCACAAUUUAGAAUUGUCUUGUUCGAACAUUUCUUUUUAUUGGGUCGAAAAGUGGGCAAAAACAAAAGGUACAUAUUAUUGCUGGUUUUAACGAGAGAAGAGAGGAGAGAAGAGAGAAGGAAGAAGAAGACGAGAAUGGCCAACACCAACUUUCGGAGGAGCACUAGUAGACUACCACGUGUUCAUUCACAAUUCAUAAUUCACCCUUUGACAUCCCCUCUUUACUUCUCAAAUUUUGAUAUUCCUUCAAUCUUUUCUUUGGAGUUAAAUACUAAUUUUCUUUUCUACCUAAAUUUUUCAACUUUACAUAAUUUGAUAAAUUUCCUUGAUAA